UUGGGGUCGGCGAGUGGAGAGGUCGCUUGGGUAAAAAUAAACCGUCUUUUACUGAACUCAAUGAUAAUCGUUUUGCUUGAGUUGUAGGGAUUGGAAGAACGAAAGCAGCGAGCCAUGCUUGGAGGAAAAGAGCCUUUGAAGCAGAUUUGAAUGAUAAUUGUUCGUGAAACAGGGAACUGUGGUGUGCUCGGGUUAAAUACAUGGGUGGCCCUUUGGUCAUAACAUUAUUCAAUCUGUACACUAAACAAACAUUUAAAAAUUGGAUUGUGAAAUAUUAAAUACGAGCAACAAAAGCAGUACUUAACAGACAAGAAAAACCUUCAGAUGCAGGAAUCCAAAGUAGAUAACCUGGAGGCUGGAAGAACACAGAGCCUGGCAGCAUCAGGAGAUGGAAAACUCAACAAAAUAUUACUUGCAGAAUCAGAAGAGGCCCCACAAAAUGGGUUACGCGACUCUUCAGAACCUGAAUGCCAUCAGCCUUUGAAUGUGAAAAAAGUAUUUCAACUAACCAUGCAAUCUGAAAAUGCAUCAUGCCAAUCAUAGCAGAAAGGAAUACAUGUGUAGUAUGUGUGGGUCAGUCUUCAACUGAUUAUAAGUCUUGGAGAAGGACAACGCAACCCCAAUAUGGAGAAACCAUGGAAAUGUGAAUAUUGUGGGAAGAGAUUCAGUUACCCAUCCCAGAUAGAAAAUCAUCGACGCAGUCACACUGGGGAGAGACCAUUCAGCUGUUUGGCUUGUGGGGAAGAAUUUACACAGAGAUCCAGCCUUUUGACACACCAACGAAUUCACACUGGAGAGAGACCAUUUACCUGUUGCGACUGUGGGAAAGGUUUUACUCAAUCAGCCAGCCUUCGGAGACACCAGCGAGUUCAUACUGGUAAAACUCCAUAUACCUGUUCUGUAUGUGGAAAGGGAUUCACCCAGUCAGCCAACUUUCAGAGACACCGACGAAUUCAUACUGGAGAGAAGCCUUUCACCUGCUCAGCAUGUGGCAAAGGCUUCAUUCAGUCAUUUGAGCUUCUGACACACCAGCAAGUUCACACAGAGGAGAGACCUUUUCAUUGCUCUGAAUGUCAGAAGUGCUUUAAAAGUAUAAAGCAACUUCUGGCCCAUCAGCGCACUCACACUGGGGAGAGGCCGUUCACUUGCUCAGUCUGUGGGAAGGGAUUCACUCGUUCAUCCACCUUGCUGACACACCAGCAGGUUCACACUGGGGAGAAGACAUUUAUCUGCUCUGAGUGUGGAAAGGGAUGCAUUACUUCAUCCCACCUACUGAUACAUCAGCGAGUUCACAGUGGGGAGAGGCCAUUCACCUGUUUAGCCUGUGGGAAGGGAUUCAUUCAGUCAUCACACCUGCAGAAACACCAGAGACUUCACAAGUAAUUGCAGGACAUGAACUCCCCUGUUAAUGCUGCUGCUGAUCACAUCCAGGACUGUUUUAAUAAGAGUUUCUCAAUAACCCUUAUAAAUUAAAUAUUAAUUUAAAUAUAAC
RNA transcript from Hemiscyllium ocellatum (epaulette shark), 1492 nucleotides. It is a transcript of the gene named zinc finger protein 214-like, with no coding region annotated. The transcript is spliced from 2 exons. NCBI's taxonomy places the organism in Eukaryota, Metazoa, Chordata, Chondrichthyes, Orectolobiformes, Hemiscylliidae. The record is from RefSeq and is a predicted model, not a curated record.